CCUAAAUUAAAAAAAAAAAUGAUUAAAAGAGGGCUGCACUAAUUAUUUUAUGCACAUGUCGAAGUAUGGUAAGAUAAAACAUUUUUUAAAUAAAGGAGCAAAAUUCUGUUACAAACUAGCUUAGUCACAUGAUAUAAACCAUGGUAGAUAUGAGUUUCCAUAUAACUGAAAAUGAUAUAAUGAAAGCACCACACUUCUAACUAAGGCUCCAUAGGAUACCCUUAUUCCUAUCACACAUCACAUAAAAACACCCACAAUAAAUUAGACACCUAUCCCUUACCACCCAC
RNAcentral lists this long non-coding RNA (287 nucleotides) under Carica papaya (papaya). Its description in RNAcentral is "long non-coding RNA (CPAP_LNC003225)". Lineage: Eukaryota; Viridiplantae; Streptophyta; Magnoliopsida; Brassicales; Caricaceae. The record is from RNAcentral.